RNAcentral lists this ribosomal RNA (1812 nucleotides) under Escherichia coli. RNAcentral's name for it is "partial 23S ribosomal RNA". It matches the Rfam family "Bacterial large subunit ribosomal RNA", at positions 419 to 2215 of the family's 2925-position model. Lineage: Bacteria; Pseudomonadati; Pseudomonadota; Gammaproteobacteria; Enterobacterales; Enterobacteriaceae. The record is from RNAcentral.
GGGACACGUGGUAUCCUGUCUGAAUAUGGGGGGACCAUCCUCCAAGGCUAAAUACUCCUGACUGACCGAUAGUGAACCAGUACCGUGAGGGAAAGGCGAAAAGAACCCCGGCGAGGGGAGUGAAAAAGAACCUGAAACCGUGUACGUACAAGCAGUGGGAGCACAGAGCAAUCUGUGUGACUGCGUACCUUUUGUAUAAUGGGUCAGCGACUUAUAUUCUGUAGCAAGGUUAACCGAAUAGGGGAGCCGAAGGGAAACCGAGUCUUAACUGGGCGUUAAGUUGCAGGGUAUAGACCCGAAACCCGGUGAUCUAGCCAUGGGCAGGUUGAAGGUUGGGUAACACUAACUGGAGGACCGAACCGACUAAUGUUGAAAAAUUAGCGGAUGACUUGUGGCUGGGGGUGAAAGGCCAAUCAAACCGGGAGAUAGCUGGUUCUCCCCGAAAGCUAUUUAGGUAGCGCCUCGUGAAUUCAUCUCCGGGGGUAGAGCACUGUUUCGGCAAGGGGGUCAUCCCGACUUACCAACCCGAUGCAAACUGCGAAUACCGGAGAAUGUUAUCACGGGAGACACACGGCGGGUGCUAACGUCCGUCGUGAAGAGGGAAACAACCCAGACCGCCAGCUAAGGUCCCAAAGUCAUGGUUAAGUGGGAAACGAUGUGGGAAGGCCCAGACAGCCAGGAUGUUGGCUUAGAAGCAGCCAUCAUUUAAAGAAAGCGUAAUAGCUCACUGGUCGAGUCGGCCUGCGCGGAAGAUGUAACGGGGCUAAACCAUGCACCGAAGCUGCGGCAGCGACACUAUGUGUUGUUGGGUAGGGGAGCGUUCUGUAAGCCUGUGAAGGUGUACUGUGAGGUAUGCUGGAGGUAUCAGAAGUGCGAAUGCUGACAUAAGUAACGAUAAAGCGGGUGAAAAGCCCGCUCGCCGGAAGACCAAGGGUUCCUGUCCAACGUUAAUCGGGGCAGGGUGAGUCGACCCCUAAGGCGAGGCCGAAAGGCGUAGUCGAUGGGAAACAGGUUAAUAUUCCUGUACUUGGUGUUACUGCGAAGGGGGGACGGAGAAGGCUAUGUUGGCCGGGCGACGGUUGUCCCGGUUUAAGCGUGUAGGCUGGUUUUCCAGGCAAAUCCGGAAAAUCAAGGCUGAGGCGUGAUGACGAGGCACUACGGUGCUGAAGCAACAAAUGCCCUGCUUCCAGGAAAAGCCUCUAAGCAUCAGGUAACAUCAAAUCGUACCCCAAACCGACACAGGUGGUCAGGUAGAGAAUACCAAGGCGCUUGAGAGAACUCGGGUGAAGGAACUAGGCAAAAUGGUGCCGUAACUUCGGGAGAAGGCACGCUGAUAUGUAGGUGAAGUCCCUCGCGGAUGGAGCUGAAAUCAGUCGAAGAUACCAGCUGGCUGCAACUGUUUAUUAAAAACACAGCACUGUGCAAACACGAAAGUGGACGUAUACGGUGUGACGCCUGCCCGGUGCCGGAAGGUUAAUUGAUGGGGUCAGCGCAAGCGAAGCUCUUGAUCGAAGCCCCGGUAAACGGCGGCCGUAACUAUAACGGUCCUAAGGUAGCGAAAUUCCUUGUCGGGUAAGUUCCGACCUGCACGAAUGGCGUAAUGAUGGCCAGGCUGUCUCCACCCGAGACUCAGUGAAAUUGAACUCGCUGUGAAGAUGCAGUGUACCCGCGGCAAGACGGAAAGACCCCGUGAACCUUUACUAUAGCUUGACACUGAACAUUGAGCCUUGAUGUGUAGGAUAGGUGGGAGGCUUUGAAGUGUGGACGCCAGUCUGCAUGGAGCCGACCUUGAAAUACCACCCUUUAAUGUUU